Molecule: RNA transcript, 918 nt
Organism: Schistocerca piceifrons (Central American locust)
Lineage: Eukaryota; Metazoa; Arthropoda; Insecta; Orthoptera; Acrididae
Exons: 6
Source: RefSeq, a predicted model, not a curated record
UAGUAUUAUUAUUAAAUGUUGACGAGAAGUCAUCAGUUGAUUCUGUUGGUUUAUUUUGGAGUAUCAGUCGAACAUUAUAUUUAUCUUUAAGAUUGUAAAUGCCACUCUAUUAACGGCAUUAUUGGGCAGUUAUUACCCGCAAAGCGAAAACAUUGAAUAAGCAUAUUAUAGAUGUGUGGUUGUAUUAUGUCGAAUUUUGAAAGAACUGUAGAUAAAAAUGGUGUAUUGUCAGUGAAAGUGUGUUGUUGAACAUUUGAUACAGCCUUCAAACACAUUUCAUUUUAGUAAGAAUAGCUGUAACAUCACAAGCCCAAACUGUUGUGGAUAGUCACUGAAGCAUUUUGGAUUAAGACAAAACAUUCACCACCAACUAAAGAGAAAACAAAUAACAUAGAAGUGCAAUAAAUAUACUGUCAAAAUUACCAUAGAUAGACAGUUUUAACAUUAUACAGAGUUCACACUGCAAAACACUGAGUAUCAUUAAAUGUAGUUUGUCAAGCAGACUACAGUGUUUUCUUUUUCUCCACCAGUUGUCAAAACAAUCUGCUUACUGUAUACAGUCGUAGUACAACAAUGAAGAGAGCAUAUCAGAUUGAAAGGUCAAAAUACAGCAAGGCAGAAGGGAAUGUUGAGAUUGAAAGAGUUUCUGAUGAAAGACGUGUAUUCAAAAGGUUGCCCAGCAUUUCAAUUUUUGAAAAAUAGUAAGAGGGGCAGAUAUGUUCCACUGGACAUCAAAUGGUCCAUUAUAUGAUCACCGAGAGGAAGCUAAGUGGCCACACUGGUCAGCAAGCAGGUUAUUCUUGAGUUAACUGAUGAUACAUGGACAAGAGCAGAUGAAUAUCAGAGAAGUGAAGAAUCUGGACGAACAAGUGGUGUAAGAGCAGGGCCAAAUGCGCAAGCGCAACCGUUGGAUGCCAG